UUAGGUGCUGUUGUAGGAGCAAGGGAUACAAUGAUGAUCAAGGCAGAUGCAGCCGUUACCUUCAGGUUGUGGAGUCCGGAUACAGACUGGAGGCAGGCAGCUGUAAGAUGUGUGAGAAAUGCUGCGCUGGAUCAGCCCAUGGUAUUAGGAGAGCAGGCUUCGGUAGAUUGCAAAUGACCUGCUUUCUUUCGGAUCCCGGGCUGCUUUCGGACACCUGUCGAAUAGUAAAUCCCAAGUAAGGUACCUGCGGUCGUCGGCAGAUCUGAAUUUUCUUCUUGGACACCUAAUACCCACAGUCCUCCAGAGACCGAGAGGUUGAUGUCACUCCCAAUAUCGGAGGAAGUAUACACCCCCGUGUGAGAUGGUCCUUAAUAAUAUUCCACGGCGGAGGGGGUGAUAUGACUACAUACAUGGCAGAAAGUGGAAACCUCCCAGGGAUAUUGUUCCCACGAUCCUGGAGGGAAGAAGAUGAUGUUACUUUCAAUAUGACAGAAGGUGGAUGAAGUGGUGGACUGCCCCUCCACACCUGUGGACACGCCCCCACUGAUAUUCCUUCUAAUUGCAGCGUGGGAGAGGAGGAUAUGACACGCGAUAUCGCAGGGAGUAGAAACACCCCUGUGAUACUGUUCUUAAUAUUCAGGGAGGAAGAGGAUGAUAUUACUCCCAAUACAGACGGGUGUACACCCUCUGUACACCGAGGGUGUACACCUGUCUGUGAAAGAGUUCGUAAUCUCCAGAGGGGGAGAUGAUAUUACUCACAAUAUGGUAAAGAGGCUGUGAGUCCACGGAGGAUCCUCAGAGCCAGCGGGGGAAGAGGGGCUGGCUCUCAGUCCCCGCCUCGCGGGGGUGACUCCCCCCAGUGCGAUGGGGGUCCUAAGAGCCAGUGGGGGAAGAGGGGCUGGCUCUGAGACCCCGCCUCGCGGGGGGUGCCUCCCCGCCCUGUGAUGGGGGUCCGAAGAGCCAGAAGGCUUAGAGGGGCUGGCUCUCAGUCCCCGCCUCGCGGGGGGUGCCUCCUCCCCCUGCGAUGGGGGUCGUAAGAGCCACUGGGGGAAUAGGGGCUUGCUCUCAGUCACCGCCUCGCGGGGGGUGCCUCCUUUCCUUUCUACAUAGACACAGUGACAGUCUGAUCUCUCUUUCUUUUCCCUACAGAUGGACACGCCCCCACUGAUAUUGUUUUUAAUGCAGCGUGGGAGGGGAGGAUAUGACACGCGAUAUCGCAGCUGAGUGCCACGUGCUGACGUCACUAAGAUCAAUACAGCAAACUCUGAAAGAUGGACAGAGAGACAGGAGAUGGUCCUUUAUAAUGCAGUGUGAUCUGUGCUGCAAUAGAGUUUUGGAAGCUAGAAGUUCAAAACGAGGUGUUGGCAGCACCAUGCUCUCUCUGAAGAUGCUAGGAAGAAUCUGCUCCAUGCCUUUCCAUUCGCUUCUGGGGUUUCCUGCAAGCCCUGACAUUCCUUGGCUUGUAGAUGCAUCACCCCAGUUUCCGCCCCCAUCAUCACAUGGCCUCCUCUCUGUGUGUGCCUCUGCGUUCCCUCUAUUCUUCUUCUAAGGACACCGACACCAGUCAUAGUGGAUUAAGUGUCCACUCCUAACCAAUUACAUCUGCAACAACCCUAUUUCCAAAUAAAGUCACAUUCUAAG
RNAcentral lists this long non-coding RNA (1641 nucleotides) under Homo sapiens (human). RNAcentral describes it as "non-protein coding lnc-FOXD4L6-1:1". Lineage: Eukaryota; Metazoa; Chordata; Mammalia; Primates; Hominidae. The record is from RNAcentral.